AGACGUCUACAUUAGAUACCCGCGUAGUCCCGGGUGUAAACGCUGCGGGCUUGGUGUUGGGGGUCCUUAGUGGGCGCCCAGUGCCGGAGAGAAGUUGUUAAGCCUGCUGCUUGGGGAGUAUGUCCGCAAGGCUGAAACUUAAAGGAAUUGGCGGGGGAGCACAACAACGGGUGGAGCUUGCGGUUUAAUUGGAUUCAACGCCGGAAAUCUUACCGGGACCGACAGCAACAUGAAGGCCAAGCUGAAGACUUUGCCGGAUUAGCUG
This 265-nucleotide ribosomal RNA is filed under the name uncultured archaeon. RNAcentral's name for it is "partial 16S ribosomal RNA". It matches the Rfam family "Archaeal small subunit ribosomal RNA", at positions 717 to 982 of the family's 1478-position model. The record is from RNAcentral.